This 67-nucleotide transfer RNA is filed under the name Pectinaria gouldii. RNAcentral describes it as "tRNA-Met". It matches the Rfam family "tRNA". Rfam says of the family: Transfer RNA (tRNA) molecules are approximately 80 nucleotides in length. The record is from RNAcentral. Lineage: Eukaryota; Metazoa; Annelida; Polychaeta; Terebellida; Pectinariidae.
AAUAAGAUAAGCUAAGAAUAAGCUGUCGGGCUCAUACCCUGAAAAUGGGGUUUAACCCCUCUUAUUA